UGGGGAAUAUUGCACAAUGGGCGCAAGCCUGAUGCAGCAAUGCCGCGUGAGUGAAGAAGGCCCUUGGGUCGUAAAGCUCUUUCGGUUGGGAAGUAGGGUAUACUGGCUAACAUCCAGUAUAUUUGACGGUACCUAAAGAAGAAGCACCGGCUAAUUUCGUGCCAGCAGCCGCGGUAAUACGAGAGGUGCAAGCGUUGUUCGGAAUUAUUGGGCGUAAAGCGUGCGCAGGCGGGAUUGUGUGUCAAUUGUGAAAUCCCCGGGCUCAACCUGGGACGUGCAGUUGAAACUGCAAUUCUUGAAUACCUGAGAGGGUGGGGGAAUUCCUGGUGGAGAAGUGAAAUUCGUAGAGAUCAGGAGGAACAUCGGAGGCGAAGGCGCCUACCUGGCAGAGUAUUGACGCUCAUGCACGAAAGCGUGGGGAGCAAACAGG
Molecule: ribosomal RNA, 430 nt
Filed under: uncultured bacterium
Lineage: Bacteria
Description: bacterial SSU rRNA
Rfam family: Bacterial small subunit ribosomal RNA
Source: RNAcentral